CCACCCCUGCCACGGGGUGACCCUAGGGCCCUGAAUCAAGAGCGGGUCUGACAAUGUAACGAAAGGCAGUAAUGCCUGGGGUUUAAAUCGCGAGAGGCAAGCCCUUCUAGUAACCACGACUGGAUGAGUGC
Non-coding RNA from Candidatus Paracaedibacter, 131 nucleotides. NCBI's taxonomy places the organism in Bacteria, Pseudomonadati, Pseudomonadota, Alphaproteobacteria, Holosporales, Candidatus Paracaedibacteraceae. The record is from Rfam.